RNAcentral lists this ribosomal RNA (463 nucleotides) under uncultured bacterium. RNAcentral's name for it is "partial 16S ribosomal RNA". It matches the Rfam family "Bacterial small subunit ribosomal RNA", at positions 29 to 507 of the family's 1533-position model. The record is from RNAcentral.
ACGCACGCUGGCGGCGUGCUUAACACCUGCAAGUCGAACGGAAAGGCCCUGCUUGCAGGGUACUCGAGUGGCGAACGGGUGAGUAACACGUGGGUGAUCUGCCCUGCACUUCGGGAUAAGCCUGGGAAACUGGGUCUAAUACCGGAUAGGAGCCAUUUUUAGUGUGAUUGUUGGAAAGUUUUUUCGGUGUAGGAUGAGCUCGCGGCCUAUCAGCUUGUUGGUGGGGUAAUGGCCUACCAAGGCGGCGACGGGUAGCCGGCCUGAGAGGGUGGACGGCCACAUUGGGACUGAGAUACGGCCCAGACUCCUACGGGAGGCAGCAGUGGGGAAUAUUGCACAAUGGGCGCAAGCCUGAUGCAGCGACGCCGCGUGGGGGAUGACGGCCUUCGGGUUGUAAACUCCUUUCGCUAGGGACGAAGCUUUUGUGACGGUACCUAGAUAAGAAGCACCGGCUAACUACGUG